UCGAGGAUCUUCGGCAAUGGGCGCAAGCCUGACCGAGCGACGCCGCGUGUGCGAUGAAGGCCUUCGGGUUGUAAAGCACUGUCGAGGGGGAGAAAGGCCCGCAAGGGUUUGAUCGACCCCUGGAGGAAGCACGGGCUAAGUUCGUGCCAGCAGCCGCGGUAAGACGAACCGUGCGAACGUUGUUCGGAAUCACUGGGCUUAAAGGGCGCGUAGGCGGGCGGGCAAGUCGAAGGUGAAAUCCCACAGCUUAACUGUGGAAGCGCCCCCGAUACUGCUCGUCUGGAGGGAGAUAGGGGCGUGCGGAACUUCCGGUGGAGCGGUGAAAUGCGUAGAUAUCGGAAGGAACACCGGUGGCGAAAGCGGCGCGCUGGAUCUCUUCUGACGCUGAGGUGCGAAAGCCAGGGGAGCAAACGG
Molecule: ribosomal RNA, 414 nt
Filed under: uncultured bacterium
Lineage: Bacteria
Description: bacterial SSU rRNA
Rfam family: Bacterial small subunit ribosomal RNA
Source: RNAcentral